RNAcentral lists this ribosomal RNA (181 nucleotides) under Enterobacter hormaechei. RNAcentral's name for it is "partial 23S ribosomal RNA". It matches the Rfam family "Bacterial large subunit ribosomal RNA", at positions 2768 to 2925 of the family's 2925-position model. Lineage: Bacteria; Pseudomonadati; Pseudomonadota; Gammaproteobacteria; Enterobacterales; Enterobacteriaceae. The record is from RNAcentral.
GUGCUGAAAGCAUCUAAGCACGAAACUUGCCCCGAGAUGAGUUCUCCCUGAGACCUUGAGUCUCCUGAAGGAACGUUGAAGACGACGACGUUGAUAGGUCGGGUGUGUAAGCGCAGCGAUGCGUUGAGCUAACCGAUACUAAUGAACCGUGAGGCUUAACCUUACAACGCCGAAGGUGUUU